GGCUUAAUACAUGCAAGGCGAAGGGGCAGCAAUGUCACUGUCGUACGGGUGCGUAACGCGUAUGCAACCUACCUAUCACUGGGGGAUAGCCCGGGGAAACCCGGAUUAAUACCGCAUAAAACAGGGGCACCGCAUGGUGAUAUUUGUUAAAGAUUUAUUGGUGAUAGAUGGGCAUGCGUUCGAUUAGCUAGUUGGCGGGGUAACGGCCCACCAAGGCGACGAUCGAUAGGGGAGCUGAGAGGUUGAUCCCCCACACGGGCACUGAGAUACGGGCCCGACUCCUACGGGAGGCAGCAGUAGGGAAUAUUGGGCAAUGGAUGCAAGUCUGACCCAGCCAUGCCGCGUGCCGGAUGAAGGCCCUCAGGGUUGUAAACGGCUUUUAUUCGGGAAGAAGAGCAGGG
RNAcentral lists this ribosomal RNA (401 nucleotides) under Dyadobacter sp. R-45763. RNAcentral describes it as "bacterial SSU rRNA". It matches the Rfam family "Bacterial small subunit ribosomal RNA", at positions 45 to 457 of the family's 1533-position model. Lineage: Bacteria; Pseudomonadati; Bacteroidota; Cytophagia; Cytophagales; Spirosomataceae. The record is from RNAcentral.